GGAUAAGACGAAGGAAGUGGGUUUCUGCUAGGGUUGAGUUGAUGCUUGUUUGCCUCUUAAACAGGUCUUUUGUGUGAUGGGCUUCGGGCCGAUUUCAAGUGCGCCGUUGGAAAUUUCGUGAGCCCAUUUCUAGGAAGAGUAGUCGAUAAGCGUGCAGUGGCUUCAACAAACAAUGCAAUUGCGUAGAUGACAAAAACGCUACAAGUUGGAUCCUGGAGUUCAUGCAAAUAUGCAGCCGCAACACAGAACAAGAGCCAUCAGGAGAACCAAACGCAAGACAAGACAAUUCACAAAAACUAAAAGAAAAUGCGACAACAAUCAUUUGAGCGAUGAGAAAAACUGCAGAGGAUGAGAGCCCAGACCUUCAAAAGAGACAUUUUUACAUACAUUAUGUCUACCAGUGGCUUUUCAGCACUGUGAUCAGUCAUACAAGAAGACAUUAGUGAAGAAGAGACGACUGGAAGAAUUUGAUGAAACAGAGUAAGCUCUAAAGAAUAAUGGUACACUGAGUUGGAUUGCUCUUAGUGCAAUACAAAGAUCAACAAUGAAGGUUGCAAUAUCUCAGACAAAGGUAUCAGUCUGUAAAGAGAUACCGCAAUAUUAGCAAACUGUGGACUCCACUUGAACUUCUAAAAGAAAUAUCUUAACAAUUCCUUCCUAGAGGAAAAUCUAAAAAGUACAAGCAGGCUUAAUGAGAUCCACAACUAUCCAGCAGAAGGUGUGGCAUAAUGCCCAGUUUUCCUUCUGUGGCGGCUGAAAUCAGAAACAAACCUGAAUGUCUGCCCGCACCCAGAGAACUUACACUUGUAGGGACGCUCUCCCGUGUGGACCCUGACAUGUUCGGUCCUGGCCCAUGCCCACUUGAAGGUCAUGUUGCAGCCCUUCCAUGGGCAUCUAAGAGGUCUAUCAUCAUUGUGAACACACUGAUGGCGCACUGCAUAUUUGUGACAGCUAAAUCGCUUUCCACAUCCCUCAAUUGUACAACGGUCACGCUUGUGCAGUGAAAGUUCUCCCCUUGUCUGAAAACUCAUAAAACAGCCUUCAAUGUCACACUUGAAAGCCUUGCUCUUAUCUUCCCUUUGCACAAUCGAGUUUCCUGGUCUUCUCCUUUCCUUGAUUGCAGAGCUCUUCUCCAGUGUAAAUAUGUCAGCCUUGACAUCCGUUUUGAGCCAACUCCGUGGCCUCAACCCCUCACAGGGGCUUCGUACAAAGCAAACUGAGCUAUCCUGACAUCCUGUUGACUGCUCUUGUUGUCUCUUUCUUUUGUUUCUCCGCCUCACAUAUUGUAUAAGAUCAACUCUUGCUGGAUUAUGAUAAUUUGGUUGUGCACCAUUCAGCAAAGAAGAGCUAUCAGCAGAAACACAAAGCUCCGUUGAAUGCACUUCCUGCAUAACAGAGCCUUCGGCCAUUGAUAUGGCAAGAAUCUCAGCCAACUUCAUUGAAUGGUUAAAAGCAGUCUUCCCAUCAGCUUUAACAAAGGCUUCCAUUUCAUCAGCACAGUGAGCUUUCUGCGGCAUUUCAGAAUUAUUAACAACCAAAUUAUUGACAGCAAAGUAGUUUUCACUCUUAAUGAUAUUUGCACCAUCAGCAAUAUGUUCAGUCCUUGCCAAAAUCUCUUGCAACAUUUUACUACCAUCAUUUAUGCUAAUGUCAGGCAUCCUGUUUGAAUUAGCAGGAUUGGCAACCAUGUCAUCACCUAAAGGUUCCUGGACAGACAGAUUAUUAAGCUGUAUUUCAGAAUUAAUUAGUGAUUCUGAUAGACAAAGGAACUGGUCGUUGGACAACGAAGUUCUGCAACUAUCCUCUAAAUUCUCCAAAGAAUAAUGGAGAGGUCUUCUACCAGUCCCACAAGCUGCUUCCCUAUUUCCAUUGAACUCAUCUCCUAGAUUAGCUGUAUCCACAGCACUAACUUGUUGAGCUUCAGAAGUUCCACUUUCUAAAGUCAAUCUAUCUGCUAAAAUUUCUGACUUAUCAGAACUACAAAACUUGUCUUGUGAUCUAUAUGCUUCUUCAAACCCUUGACUUAGUUCCGGAUCCACAAAAGGCUGUUUGCUAGCCGACUUUACAGGUUCACAAACUGCUUCCUUGAAGCUUAGCCCAUCGGAGUGAAUCUCUAACCGUUCAGAAUAUCCAACAUCUGACUCAUGACUUGCAGGCAAUUUUACAGGAGGAACAGACUCACUGUAUGUGGUAACCCUCAGCGUUACCCAACUCACUUGAUGCAUUUGAGGACAUUCAGCAAUCAGGACAGGAAUGGUAUGCAAAUUAUCGCCAGUAUCAUCUUUCAUUUGACUAAUAAUUUUGUUUGCAGAACCACACUUUCUUCUUUCAUCACCUCUGUCAUCAACCUUAACAAUUGUGUUACCACUGCCUGACUCUUUGAGCAUACCUUUUAUAAGGAGACUAUGAUGCAUAGUUCCUAUCUGAUGUGGUUCAAGGCUACGAUUAACUUCUGUGACUUUGGCAGAAUCAGUUAUUGAAUUUGUAUUCCCAUCUAUUAGCUCACACUUUUCAUUAUUUGCAUCAAAUUGUGAUUUUGACUGGAUCACACCAACUACCUUGUGGGGAGUACGAGAUUUUCUAGAAAGCCACUUGAGAUUUGAAACAGCUGUAGGAGAAGGAUCAGAAAAGAUUCCACCUAAGGAUAAUGUGAGAUGUUCUUGAUUUGAUGGAGACUGCUUUUUCAGCUUCGCACAGUAUCUCAGAUUCAGACCCAAUUUUGACGUCCAAUCAUUCCCAUCUUCUUCAUGUCCUUCAUCAUCAAUUGAGACAUUGAUUAAAUCCAAAUCUGACGGGGAUGCAUUCACCAGUGGGACAUCUUCACAGUUAAACCGGAUGUUGAUUUCUUCAGCAAUAGAUAUGGCAAGUGCUUUUAUUUUGAGAUAGUCUGCAAAAACAAAAUAACAGCACCAUAAGAAAUCCUGCUUAUAUCACUAUAAGAAAGCAAAUUCAGUAAGAACAGAAAAUAACUUCUGGUAUUUCAGAAAAAAAAUUAUAGCUAUUUAUAAGGAGAUGAAAUUAUCUGACUCUUGAAUAAAGAUGAACUUUAUUCCAUGAAAAAAAUAAAACGAUCUAUAAGUAUCAACAGCAUGAACUUUUCAGUAGAGAUGUCCGUCGCUCGUAUAUGUUUUUUUCAUCACUGGACUCUCAACAAUGAAAUCAAAGACCAUGUAUCAUACACAACCAUUCAUUUUUCAAGAUAUAAUUAGCAGUACUAAUAGGAAUUCAAUAAUGUUUCACCGACGCAAAACCAUUCCAACCUUUUGCUCUGCAAGAACAAACUACCACAGUUACAAUACAUUUCGACCAGUACCAAUUGAAGAAGACAUGGCAUACAAGAACAACAGCUUUAAAAAUUGUAAUUGGGAAAAUUUAGAAGAAAAUGAUAAUAAAUGUAACAUAUAUAUUAAUGCUAUCAAUGCAUGAAUUCACACCUGAAUGGCAUAUAAUAAGCACACGCACACCACCCUUGCACCGUAACAAAUCCUCAAUUUCAAGUGCAUGCUGUAAGCAGAAGAUUCGUGGUCUUAGAAAUCCAUUGCAUGUAUUCCAAUUUGAAAUCUCAUCUGAAGAUUUCCUCUCUGGCACAUCAUCUGUUUCAUCAAGAGAAAUGUUACCAGGAUAGUCUCCUUGACAUGCUUUAUUGUCAACCUCUGAAUGACUUGUCAAAGAUAUAUGUGGCCCAGGUUCUUUCAUUUUGUCACAAGAAUGUUGUCCACAGACAACUGUCGUUUCAUACGUACAACUACAAUGUGUUCUCUUUGCUUGAACACAUCCAUCAUUCUUAUCUUGAGCUCUCAAUUCGUGUAUCUGACGCUCCAUUAAACUCAGAAUCUGUUGAUGUUCCUCAUUGCUUGCACAAUUAACAGGCAAUGAGUUGCCGGUGGAUAGUUUUUCAGGUCCAAUCAAAUGACAAAAUCUGCUUCUCUCAACGUCUUCACCAAGCAUAUCUGGUGUAGUGUCUGAUAAAGAUUCUUUGACAGCACUUCGGUUUUCAACCAGAGAAACAUUGACCGUGUCCUCAUGUGAAUUAGAUCUGGCAUCUGGAUUUCUCUGCUCCUCAACACCAACACAUUCGUCUUCGUGAUUAUUUCAAAAAAUGAAGCAAGUUAAUACAACUCCAUAUGAAAAUCAGAAUUUCUGUACUUAACAAUCAUACAAUAGAGAUCCAGAAAAGUGGCUAACAGUACAUUGUCAAUGUAACUUAAACAUUCUCUCAUCAAGCAUCAUUCUACUUUGUAAUAUGUCUUGCAAUCAAUAGUUAAGAUUCAAUUGCAAAUAAUGAUAAAUAUGCCAGAGUAUAAAGAUGUCAACUAGUGAUUGGGUGGAACAUAUUCUAUCUUAUGAAUUUUGAUGAACUAUAGUACAAGUAUAUAAUAAUGAGUGCUUAAAAUAUAUUCAUAAUGCAAGUGCAUGUCCUAGGUUGUUAUCUAGAGGCAAAGAAUUUUUUUAUGGUGAAUGCUUAUGUCACUCAAAAAUGGGUUUUGUAACAAAAACACAGUCAUCACACUAACAUGCUAAUCAACACAAGAAAUACGUCCGAUGCUGGAAAAUGUCUUUAACUUCCCUACUGUGUGUCUACAAAAUUUACAGCUCUACUGGCCAAAAAGACAAAUUACCUGAAUCCAACUUUUUGGCAGUACAGGGCUGGCAGGAAGGAAGGUUCAAAUUUUGUGACAUAUCAAGGCUUGGAUGAGAUUCAUUAGAAUUUGCAGCAAUAAUAUUUCUGGAUGCUUUUUCAGAAGGUUGCAGGAUAGCCAUAAAUGGAUAGCCAAGAAUUCCACAGGCAACACAUGCCAAUGAUCCAGAAUCAACAUCAAGACCAAAUGGUAGAUCAAUUUCAUCAACAUCCAUGAUGCCCUCAGUAUUAUUGCAAGCAUUCUCAUUAGCCUCUGAAAAUAAAGCAGAAUGAGAUGAUCUGCCGGAAAGAUCGGCAGUUGUUUCAUGGGCAUCCUGAGUACAGCAAGCAUCUCCUUCAUAGUCAAGAGAAUCUUUACCCAUGGAUUGACACUCCAUUUUAAUUCCAUGAAGGUCACCACUUGUGGGCCCAUGUGCUUCAGAUGAUACGGAUGAAGACUGCUGCACUUGGGUACCAAGACACGUGGCAGGCAACAUCUCUGGUUCCCACAACACUGCACUAGAGAUUGUUGCUUUUGCAAGAAGUACAAACAACAAGUUGCUUUCAUUCAUCAUAUCAUCCAGAAAUGCUUUCUUGACUAGGAUUUCUCGUUCUUCUUUCUUACGGUCUCUCAGACGGGAACUCCGUGCACCUGACAACAGUUCUCUAGGAACACUGGCAUUAAAACAAUUCCACCAGAUUCAAACUGGAGAAAAAACUAGAAUUAGGUGCCCACUCAUUUAAAGUAUGGACACCAACAAUGAAAAGAAAAAAAAAGUCUAAAUCACUGAUAGCAUGCUAGACAAAGUGCAUUUUUUUUUGCUAAAAACUGAACCAGCAUGGGGCAAGUGCCAGUAACAAUUAUAAGACUUUCACAUGGAUAUGCACCAUAUAGACAUACAGAAAUAAGUCUAAUGUGGUGUGUAAAUCCUUGAUCUAAACACCAGGGUUCAGAGAUUCAAUGAAAACUGAAGAGAAACAUAAACCAAUACCACUAGGAAUUAUUCACUAGUAAAUGUCUUAAACUUAACAUUGAAUGUCCCAAUGUUUGCAGUUAAUUUCUGAUCUGUACCACGUUAGCCAACCCUUCUUUUAGCAGAGAAAGUGUUUUGUUUGGAGAAUCAAGUUGAAUCACGCCUUCUAAAAAUGAGUUCAUGAGCCAAGGAUUCAUACAAGUUUGUGAAUAAGCAAAAUGUGUACGAUCUUAAAUUAUGGCAUUAAAUAAUAAACUAAAGCCCCACACUCUCAAAUCCUUCUCAGGCAAUACAUAAUAUAAAGAACAACUUAAUCAGCACCGUAUAUUUCAGAGAAGAGAAUUCUAACUUGUAAAAAGAAAACCAACACUACAGAUAUUUCAGCACCUACUUACGAACUUAGACCAUAAAAAUUAUCUAAAAUUAAAUUAUUAGAUUAUUAAUAAUUUUUUAAAGAGUCUUAGAUCUGUUUUAUUUUACUCCAAAAGACUAGUUGAUUAAUCUAUGGUCUUUGGCAGGCGUUGGUUAAAAUAAUUUUAUAUCAAGAUAUAGCCAAUAUGAGUGAUCUAGCUAUGUGGAAAUGGCUAACCAGUAAAAGGAGAAUAAGAGGAGGGACAGGGUCUUCCAGCAAGCACCAACAAAUGGGACAACCAAAAUCGACAAAAGGUCCCACAACUUUAAUGAGCAUACUGACUCCUUUAUAGCAUAGAUUUUCCUGCUACACAGUAAGUCGCAUCAACUUUAUUGUUCUCAAAGGUGUAAAGACUUUCUAAUCAUACUAUCAUAAUAAUGACUGGAAAGAAGAGGGUGAGCCUGAAUGCCACAGUAAGGUUGCUCCUUGUAAGCUAGGUGAAUACUGCAUCUAUUAGGCUUGCCUAAACUCUGCAUUAGCAUGAGCCUUAUGCAUCCGACCAUCACUUUUAAAUGGUUUGAAAGAGAUCAAGGCAACAAAAAUAUAUUGUUACAAUUAAAUAAAGAGGGUUUUAGCUUUUAUCAAAAAAUGAUGACUCAAUCUGCAAAAGUUGUAGAAAAUUACAUAAGCUAGGUUUCCACAGAAAUUUCACACUGCUCUCGCAAUAGAAGAAAAUACAGAUCAGAAGGUAGAGGGGAAAAAAAAGAAUGACUAACUGUAAAUUGUGCUGUAAAAAUUUAUUAAUAACCAACCUUGAGAUAAAAGAUAUUGAUAACAUGUAUAACAGCUGUUGAUGGGAGAGCAUAGGAAGAUAAUUCAUGGCAGCCCUUCGCACUGCAGCCUCUUUUGCUACCAUUAACCACUUGGGAGUUGCAAAAUUAGCAGCUUCCCCACAGUUGAAUCCUAUUGUGCAAUCAUGACAACAUAUAAAUAAAAUCAGGGGUAACAGGCAUUUGACAUGGAAACCUGUAAAAAAAAUUAAAUCUUACCCCAGAUACUUGUCUAUCCUUAAUGAGAUUAGUGAGACUUCAUACAAGAUAAAUGACAUUAAGAACUAUUUUCAUUUUGGUAGCUUCAAUUAAAGAAUAGAAGUACCCUAACCACAAGAAAAGUACCAAAUGGAUACAAGACUAAAGCAUGUAAAGACCUGAAAGCAACAAGUAUACAUAAACUGACAAGCUUUACUCCAUUUAUUUGUCUAGUCUAAUUAAACCAUAAAUGAAAGUUUGCAUUCGUUCACAUGUAAAACUGUAACAUGCCAUUAAUGUUUCAUAUGUUGUGCAAUUUAUUAGUCAUGGUUAACUAAGCUGAGAUUUGGGAUUGACUAUAAUAUAAGAGCCCACUAGAGCAGGCAAUAGUUCCCUAUAUCUACAUGACCCAAGGUCCUCAACUUUGUCAACCCUUACAGUAACUUUAAUCCCUUUUUGGUAGAAUCAAUUUGCUUUCACUACAAACAAAUACAUCAGUUUCUCAAGUUGUGAUGAUGCAAGUGCAUCCUACUAUUGAUCCUCUUUAUCCUCAUCUUCAUAUUUUGCAAUCAGCUCCUCUUCCUCUUCAUCUUCAUCUUCAUCUUCACCUAGAUCUUAAAGUCUGACAUAUUCUUAGGGAUCAUAAAUUUGUAACUAGUAAUGGUGUCUGAGGCAAAAGAUACAUGGUAGUACAGUUCCACAGUACCUCAUUCAACUCAUCCCAACAGUGAGCUAUUUUCCAUUUCUUUAAAUGUUAACCUCCCCAGAGUUUUUUAUUUCAUCAUUGUAAAUGUUGCAUAAACAUUAUAGUACCAUGUUCUCUUAUUUGUCAUGGAAUUUCCUAUUACUUGAGGUGCAUGCUAAAGUAUAGUUUCCAAGGAAGCAUAAAAUGUAACAUGAAAGACUUUCAAGCUACAUAAUAUAUUUCCAGUUGAAUGGGACACAAGAGUAUGAUUAAAAAACAAAUUUAAUGCACAAGUUUCCCGCCAAUGCGGCGUAUUCUCGGACAAAAAAUUGACACUAUUACAACUUAGCAAAAAAAGAAAGUGAGAAGGAUUGAUGUGUUAGAAAAUCAAGAAAGGAAGAUAUAAUCAGAAUAUCAAGAAAGAAAGAUAUUACUGGCAUAUCAAAAAUACAUAAAUUUUCAAGAACACUCAAGUGCAACUCUACCAAAUACCUGAUAAUAUGAGAACAAUCAGUCUGGAGCUUUACACUAUCUAGAACUUUAUAACAGACAGGAGUAAGUAAAAUCAACAAGUUACUCUCUAUCAAAAACAGAAAACUGUUAUAGUGAACAUGAUAAGAUGAGCAUCAGCCCACAAUCUAUCUAAAACUUUACAACACGGGUAGGCAAACUCAACCUCUUUACUCCCCAUCAAAACCAGCCAACAUACAAUAACAAAAAUAAUUGAAAUUGGACUCUAAGCUGUCUUAAAAGUUGUUGGUGGAUUAAGCUCCCUGUGGCGUGAAUGACUUAGAAGUAUUGGCUCAAAGAAUUGAGGCUAAAUGUUUUCAAUAAAUUGCCUACCAGAAAAAUUCUUGUAAGUACUAGAAUGGCAUAAUAAGCUACAACAACACCUAAAAUAAUCUUCCAAAGUUAUAUAUUUUCUAACAAUGACCAAAACAUUGAUUAUCAGAAGCACUAACAACAAUCAGGUAAAAAAAAACUUGAUAGGAAUUAGCUUGUAACAUAACAACCAACCUAUAAUUUCUGAAAAGUAUUAGGGAUACAAUGAUAAUGACAUCAUAGUUGUCCACAGAAAAGAUAUACCAAAAUUUUCUAUAUUUUGCUAGAAAGUAAGAAGAUCUGGGGCGAAAUUUUACCAUGGCUGAAGCCUACAUGAUAAGCCCUUGGAAAUGUUACAACGAACUCACCAGGAUGUUGUACUAACCUAAAACAGUGUGACCAUAACUAUUUUAGUUUAGAAAACCAAAGUUUAUAUAGACAUUUCAGCAAUGUCAUCCGGUCAGCGUUAAACCUUAAAUAAUAUUAAAGGCACAAUCACAUAUCCAAUAUAAGAAUUUCACCUGCAGCAUGGCACCCCUGAUGCCACCAGAACUUCAGGAGAUAGCAAUGUUGUCUUCUCUCCAAGCAUAAUUAAAGCCGCUGAAAAAACAUAAAAGAAGAUAAUCAACCUCAUCGCUUCGUGUAACCGAAAACAACUAUGCUACCAUACCUAGCCGAUCCAUGUUUCCUCCGUAUCCCUGAACACGAACAAUCUCCUCCAGUGUGGCCGCAUAAUCUCCAGGAACAGCAUACCAAGUCUUCGGAGAGCCCAAAUGGAGAAAAUUCAAGCUAUGCAGCUCAUGAUCCUCCACAUGCCAGGCAAACCAACUGAACAGCAUCCCAAUAUAUACCAUCGGCGAGGUAACUCCUGGCACUUCAUCAGGCAUAAAUCUAGUAAGCGAACCAGGGGCCCUAGCGAUGGCCUGAAGAUUCCAUGGGCUAUUUGAUAGCUUCCACCCGACACCACCCAUGCCCUCACGCUCCCCGAUCGCCUGUGGGCACAAGCGUCUUGGCUCCUGGAUGCUCCCCCUAUUGAGCCCUCUUUUCCGCUUCCUCCGGUGAUGAGGGUAAUACCGGAACGGCACCUCCGGCACGCCAAACCCCGACCCAGGCACAUCGUUGGCAUACUCUACGUAAAUGGGUUUUUCCGAAGCGGCCUUCCAGAAGAGGGUCUCGAUCAGCAAAGGGCUGACUUCCUUGAUCCCACCAAGCUGGGAGCGAGCGAAGGCCUUGGACUUGGCCUCGAACUGCUCGAGGGUGUAGAACUCGCCGCUCUGCCACACCUGCUUCUGGACGGGGAGGGCGCGGCCGCGUCGCGCCCCGAGCUCCUGGUGCCGGGUGGUGAAGACGGCAGCGGGGGAGCGGGGGGAGGAGGGAGGCGGUUUCAAGUGGUCGGGGGAGGCGGAGAGGGAGCGGUUGAGGUUGGCAAGGACGAACUUCUUGGAGGGCCGGGGGAGCGGGGGGAUGACCUUGCAGAUGCCGAAGGCGGCGGCCUCGCGCUCGACACGCGAGAUAAAGGCGAUGGGAUCAGCGAACUCCGUCUCGGUGGGGUGGUACUCGGGCGCCAGGGGCAGGUUCUUCAGCCAUGCGGGGAUCUCCGAGGAGUCGGACAUGGAGGUGGAGAGGCAAUUCCAGGUCCUCGCUUCCCCGGAAACAGCCCUAGAAAAGAGAUAAGGCAAGGAUCGGAGACAAUUUUGGGGGCGGAUUAGGUGGGGAGAGAAGAAGAGGGAAAAGGAGAUAAGGGAAGGGGUUUGAGGGGUGGUGCCAUCGAGGGCUUCGGGUAUCGAGGAAGGGGGAGCAGAUUGAGUGUCACUGGGCGGUGCGACUGGUGCCCUAGUUUUAGCCGAUGCCUGCGGUGGUCGUAGUGCCGACAACGCAAAACCCCUUUAGCCAUCCUCUCACACUCGAUGGGGUUCGGUCAAGCCACGAUCGACGCGGGCGCGGCUGACCUCCUCCCUGUGCACCGAUCAAUUACGCUACUUUUAUAUAAUUAUGAUAUUAAAAAAAUAAACAACAUAAAUAAAAUGAAUAUAUAUAUAUAUAUAUUAUCAUUUUUUUUAGGAAUUCUCAUAAUUAUAUAUUACAGUAUUUUUACAUAAUUAUAAUAUAAUUAUGAUAUAAAAUAAAUAAAUAAUAUAUUAGUUAUUUGUUUUUUGGAUGAAUUCUCCAAAAAAAAAUCUCUCUUUUUUAUACUUUUUCUCAAAAAGUAUCUCUACUUCUAUAAUUUCCUAAUAAUGUUCUUCUUUAUGUAAUACCUGAUAUACCUUUAAUUUGAGAGAUUUUUGUCAUUUUCUCUUCCUUUUUCUAUAGAUCGAUUCGAUUAAAUCAAUCCAAUUACGAUAUUUUAUAUAAUUAUAGUAUAAUUAUAUAAUUAUCAUGAUAUAUAUUUUUAACAUAUAUAUAUAUAUAUGUUAUAUAUUUUUAUCACCCAAAAGCUCAUUCUAUUCCGGGGGAAUAAAACUAUGUGAAGCAACUCAAACUUGACACAAGGAACUGAUGUUGUUUCUUGCCAUCCUGGUAAUACUACAUCAUUCAAAGAGUUGGAGAAUCACGUCUCUCGACAUGUUCAUAUAUAACAGGUGCAUGAACAUUUAAGCUGCCCCACAGCAAUGCCAAAAGAGAGAAAAGUGAGUUCUUCAUAUCCGACGAGAGAGAGAUCAACUGAGACUGGAGAGUUCUUCGAAGGAACGGACCCUUUUCGGAGAAGAGUAGAUGAACAACUUAGCAGCCAAACCCGUACAGCGUACCGAUGACUCCGAUUUCUCCCUCCGCGGUUGCGUGAUCCAUAUGCAACUCCCAAGGGAUGAUACAGCCCUGUCGAGGAGCUUAGCAGGUAGUAACAAACGCAGAAGACGAGUGCCAGUGGCACACUGCGACGGAUCACGAGAUAACCUAAUUAACAUGCUUCUUCUUCUUCUUCUUUGCUUUCCAUGAUCUCAGGCGCAUCGGUGUAGUGUUUGCUGAAGCACUCCAGAGAUGAUGACUUUACUUGCUGGGGUUUCUACGCUUUGACCAUUCUGCGUGUAGAUGUCCCAUUUUGUUGAGGUCAUUCCGUAGCAGUGCUGCCAAACAGCUUCUUCCGGAGGAUGACAUGAAUGAAAACGACUCAAUCUAGGAUUUGAACCUGGGCAAGAAGACGUGAGUUGAGGAAUAGCAUGCAGGUGAUGGUUAAGCUUCUCAGCUCAUUUAGGUUGAACCCUCGUCGACAAGAAGACUCGAUUCUUCUUUCCCCCAUGAGUCAACGAUCGCUUUGGAUUUGGAGAUCAAAUGUAUGCAAAGCCUACUUUUAUAAUGCACGAGUGUCCUAAACGAUGGUCUUAAAAGAAGCACUCACCAAAACCAACCUCGUUUGAAGCCAUGACAUUUGGUUGAAGAAUGGGGAGGGGGAUUGGCUCUUUAAAUCUUUCUUUACACAGUAAACUAAAAGAUCACAUAAUGGUGUAUUAUAGUAUUUGUUAAUGAAAAUUUUGUUUAUUGGUAAUAAAGUUCAAGCUGCCCAUCGGUGCGACCCACAGCUUUGUACGCUUUCGAAGGAUUAUUCAUUUUUUACGAUGGGUGUACCGAUAUGAUUUUAUUCUUUCGAAGUAAUAUAAGCUUUAAAAAACAGAGAUCUGACGAACUUAUAAGACUAAAUAACCUUAUCACAUCUAAUUUUAAUUACUGAGAAAUGAAUUAAAUUAUACACUCUACAAUAAACAUUUAUAGAUAUAUAAGAAACAUUUGUCCUACUGCACUAUUUUCUUUUUCUUUUUUUAUUAGUUUAUACUCCAAAGCAUCGUGAGAAUAUUGCUUUUGCAUUCACUAUGGACACUUCAAUUCCUUAUCAUAUUCGCUUCAUCAUCUUCUCAUGCGAGGCUUACAUUUGUAUUUUCUUGAACCAUUUAUGAUUCUUUUUUAGAUACUUUUCAUGAUAGAUUUAUUAUGUGUAAUUCUUCUAUAUUUUGGAAGAGUUUAUGUGCUUAUUAGACAGAUUAUUUUUAUAUCUUAGUAUGGUCUGGAUAGAAAGAGGGAUGGUAGUAUUUAGGGUUUAGAUGAGCUAAACUCACCAAGCAAAUGUUAUUACGUUAUAUUCAUCCUCAAUCAUAUUUUAUCCGAAUAAUCGUAUAUUAUUCUUUAUAAUUAACUACCUUUAGUAUCUCGAUUUUUAUAUUUUUAAAAGUAAUAUUAGAAUCCUUAUUUUUAUAAAAAUAAAAUAAUAAAAUUCGGAUUAAAAAAAUAAUUUCAUAAGAUUAAAAAAAACUAUUGAAACAACAUAAUUAAAUAUUUUACUUUCGUAAAUACAAAGUUCUCAUUAUAAAUAUGAUUAAUUGCAUGGAUAAUCUAUAAUUAUCUCCACUUUUAUCUUCUAUGUUACAUUUAGCUAAGUACUUCAGUUCGAUCAACUGCUCUACUGUCAAUGUUAGUUUUGAGCUUAAAAGCAAAAAUGUGUGGAUUAUAUAACUUUAUUCAUUUACACUCUAAUAUUUGGAAGUAUUGCUGUAUUCAUGUUGUUGAUAUACUCAGUCCAACAACAACGAGAAGAAGGGUUUCUGCAGCUUGUGACCUUCGUAUACAAUGUGAUCGACAUUAGUGUGCAGACUCACCAAAUAAUCAGUCAUUUAUGUGUUCAUGGUUUUAAUGAAAGUUUUGGUUGGGUAUAUAUGAUCAAGAAAAGGAAAAGAUAAUUGCGUCUUCUAUCACUACAGCAUUGUCACCAUGAUUAGACAACAACAUUUGUUGCCGUCUCAAAGAAGCAGCACGCGAAUUGAAGCAUCAGCUAUGUCAUAAAAGCUAGAUUUAGGCAGUGAUAUAGAAACAGUUUUACCACCAUAGUCAGAUCACUCUCUCUCCCUCCUCAAUAUUCUUCUCGGCAGUCAAAUACUAGUUGAAAAUGACAUAUAUCAUGAUAUAGCCAUAUUAUGAUAUUUUUUAUAUCGGCAGUCAAAUAUUCUUCGAUCUUCAAUAGAACUUGCCCAAUCACUAUCUAAACAACCAACACUUAAAAAUUCAUUAGUAGUAGAAUACCAUAAUCUAUGGCUAAUGGUAUCCUUCAGAUGUCUUCAAAUUUUCUUUGUUAUACCCCAAUGUAUUUUACUUGGGCUAAGACUUUGUAUAAAUCAUGAUGAUAAAUAUGUACCAAAUGUUAUAUCAAGUAGAGUGUGACCAAGUAAACUUCCAAUUAAACUUAUGUACAGAUUGCAAUUAACCUUUUCUUCACUGUUGUUCAGGGAAAUUUUCAUAUCUAUGCCCAUAAAUUUUGUACAGGAUUGCAACUCUACAUCUUAAACUUCAAAAGCAAAUCAGAUAUAUACAUAUAUAUAUGUAUGUAUGUAUUCUCUAGAAAUGAAUACAUAAUUGCGCUUCUUAUCACUACAGCAUUGUCAAAAUGAUUAGACCACACUUGUUUUGGUCUCUGAUCAAAGAGCAUGCGAAGCCUCAACAUAUGUGAGAACAGCAAGAUUUAGGCAGGCAGUGAUACCCAAACAGUCCUUCCACCACCGUCAGAUCACUAGCCCUCUCCUUGACAUUCCUCUUUGCAAUCAACUGCUUGUUGAAUAAUAUACCUUCUUUCCACGACCGAUCUCUUGAAGCAGUCUAUAUAAACCCCAUUGCAGAUGAAUUCAUUCCAGAGUUGAGAGCUUCCCUUGAAUCAAAGGUUAGUUUCCUUGUGUGUUCUCUACUACAUAGCAUGAUUUCUUUGCUUAAUUUCCAAUUAAGUUAUGUGUGGACUCAUUCAUAUAUAGGUGAAAAGAUGAAACUGGUCAUCACCUCACUCGUAAUACUGGUUCUGAUGGUGUCAGUCACGACGGCAAGAGAUCGCUACAAAGAAGGCAUGAACCACCAGGUGAGCAAACUCACUGAGAUGAACACAAAACGCUCAGGUGACAAGGAUAAGACGGUGACCUAUGAACUGAACGAGAACGCUAAAGGUGAGAAGAACUAUAACGUUGACGACCAAAAUCUUUGUCAUUGGCAAGAUGCCUUGCAAGGGAAGUGCCCAUGACUUCCCUACACAAAGAAGGAAGCAGAUACGUAUCCUGCACGCCCUUCAACUUCGUGACGCAUGAAGCUCUAUGAUAUAUACCUAUGUAGAAGCAAAUAAUAUGGAUACGGUGUAGCUUCCUUCGAACCUCUUACUACGUGAAAACUAGUGCUCGGAUGUAAUGGUGUGUUCAGCUUAUUAAUAUAUAUUUGCAGGAUAUUAGCAAUUAGUGUGCUACCAGUGAACUCGACUCAGAAUGAUGAUGGCCAUAAGAAAGCAAACAAAAAGGAAGAACUUUGGGAGGGAAUAGAUUAAAAUGAUAAUAUGUAUGGGAGAAAUAUGUGAUGAUUCUGUUUAACAAGAAAUUAAAUUCAUCUGAUAAGAAUUUCUCAUCUCCAACAACAUCACGACUUCAUUUAGAUUGUGUAGAUGGUUAAUGAUAAGCAGUACUUGGAAACGCUCUUGAUUUAGAUCAUAAUUCAAUACAGGUUAUUGCCUCGGACACCUCCACAGGAUCGUCCCAUUUCUCCGUUUGCUUGCUUCGUGGCUUUGCCACUUCUUUCCACGCGUUGGAAAAAAGCCUCUGCAGAGAACUAGUAAGGGUUCGAUCUUUCUCUCUCUAAGUGUUGAAAGCUACCAUCGAGAACAACAAAGCCUUUGUUCUCU
Molecule: long non-coding RNA, 15107 nt
Filed under: Musa acuminata (dwarf banana)
Lineage: Eukaryota; Viridiplantae; Streptophyta; Magnoliopsida; Zingiberales; Musaceae
Description: long non-coding RNA (MACU_LNC006350)
Source: RNAcentral